RNAcentral lists this ribosomal RNA (920 nucleotides) under uncultured bacterium. RNAcentral describes it as "bacterial SSU rRNA". It matches the Rfam family "Bacterial small subunit ribosomal RNA", at positions 1 to 916 of the family's 1533-position model. The record is from RNAcentral.
UUAGAGUUUGAUCCUGGCUCAGGAUGAACGCUAGCUACAGGCUUAACACAUGCAAGUCGAGGGGAAACGACAUCGAAAGCUUGCUUUUGAUGGGCGUCGACCGGCGCACGGGUGAGUAACGCGUAUCCAACCUGCCCACCACUUGGGGAUAACCUUGCGAAAGUAAGACUAAUACCCAAUGACGUCUCUAGAAGACAUCUGAAGGAGAUUAAAGAUUUAUCGGUGAUGGAUGGGGAUGCGUCUGAUUAGCUUGUUGGCGGGGUAACGGCCCACCAAGGCGACGAUCAGUAGGGGUUCUGAGAGGAAGGUCCCCCACAUUGGAACUGAGACACGGUCCAAACUCCUACGGGAGGCAGCAGUGAGGAAUAUUGGUCAAUGGACGAGAGUCUGAACCAGCCAAGUAGCGUGCAGGAUGACGGCCCUAUGGGUUGUAAACUGCUUUUAUAAGGGAAUAAAGUGAGUCUCGUGAGACUUUUUGCAUGUACCUUAUGAAUAAGGACCGGCUAAUUCCGUGCCAGCAGCCGCGGUAAUACGGAAGGUCCGGGCGUUAUCCGGAUUUAUUGGGUUUAAAGGGAGCGUAGGCCGGAGAUUAAGCGUGUUGUGAAAUGUAGACGCUCAACGUCUGCACUGCAGCGCGAACUGGUUUCCUUGAGUACGCACAAAGUGGGCGGAAUUCGUGGUGUAGCGGUGAAAUGCUUAGAUAUCACGAAGAACUCCGAUUGCGAAGGCAGCUCACUGGAGCGCAACUGACGCUGAAGCUCGAAAGUGCGGGUAUCGAACAGGAUUAGAUACCCUGGUAGUCCGCACGGUAAACGAUGGAUGCCCGCUGUUGGUCUGAAUAGGUCAGCGGCCAAGCGAAAGCAUUAAGCAUCCCACCUGGGGAGUACGCCGGCAACGGUGAAACUCAAAGGAAUUGACGG